This is a long non-coding RNA of Vicia villosa (hairy vetch), 1551 nucleotides long. RefSeq lists it as uncharacterized. Lineage: Eukaryota; Viridiplantae; Streptophyta; Magnoliopsida; Fabales; Fabaceae. The transcript is spliced from 4 exons. The record is from RefSeq and is a predicted model, not a curated record.
UCGCAUCCCUUAAACCCUUACAUUCAAGAGAAAAGCAAAUUAAAGUAUCCUGCACAGCCUUGCUCUUUGUUUUUGUUCCCCCAAAUCCCAUUCCUUAAACCCUUACACUCUCGCUCCACAACAACCAUGGCGAGUCAGAUCUUGUGUCGACUCUUCCCCAAAACCCUAACCUUAACUGCUAUCUACUCUCGCUCCCUCUCCACAGCCUCCUCAACUCGCGACGUCCUCCUCCCCCCUUCCUCCCGCGCUCUCUCAACUCACGACGUCCUCCUUCCCCCUUCCUCCCGCUCUCUCUCAACUCGGGCCACCAUAGGACCUAGCCCUAACUGUUCCGCCCUUAAGUUGCGUAAUGGCUGCGAUUACUACCAGCACCUCGUUGUUAUGCAGCACCACAUAUUGGCUUCUUCAGACGCCUCUUAAAAGGUGAACCCACCUGGGAGGCAAUCGUCCAUAGUUAUGUCAAAAUACUGGCUGACCUUGUCGGAAGUGAAGAUGAAGCGAGGAUGAUGGUAUAUAAAAUUCACAUAAAUUCAACAAACACCAAAUAUGGAUUUGGGACACUUCUAUCCCAAGACAUUUUUCACAGAGUUGAAGCACUUCCCAGGGUUGUUAUGAUACUUCCUGAUUAGAAUAUAGAUCCGAUGCAACCUCAUCUUCAUCAUUUUCGUCACCGAGUGUUUUAGAGACUCACCUAACAUGGGAGGAGCUGCUGGACAGAUGCUGCUUCAGAUUCUUGUGGGAUGUGGCCAAGGCACUAUGAUUUAUUUAUAUUAUGCUUACGGAUAUUGCAUGUCGUGCAAGUGUCUUGGUUUUAUUGUUUAGUAUAAACACUUUUAAGUGUCUAAGUAUAUCAAAAAUAUCAAUCUCACACUUCAGUCAAUUAUUUGUGAGAAUUUCAUAAUCACCAGAGCUUUUCUUUUCUGAUAUUUGUUUGGCAUAAUGUUAAUGACUUGUGUUUUUAGGUGAAGCCCGUUAGAAUUCUUCUUGUGUUUUAUACAUAGAAAGACAGUUAGCUUUUCAUGAAUCAUUAGUACUUUUAAAAAGCAUUCACAAUCAAUGACUUGAAAAUUCCAGUAAUGAAAGUCCAAAUCCCAUUAAACCAGCAGUCAGUCCCUGAACUUAUUUCCAAAGAUGAAAUUUGGCACAAGGGCACUAAAACAUGCCAAUAGAGAAUUUGACAUGAGUAUAACCAUCCAAGCCAUUAAGGAGAAGUAAAGAAAACCAUCAAUGUCUUUCCUUAAUCCUACUAGCCAAUAGUGAAUAAAAGACCAACCAUUUGUAGGAAAGGAAAAGGAAGAAACACAAGUGUAUUUGCUAACACAUAUAAAGAAACUCUAUAAGCUCCAGUUUAAGUAUUUCUCAUAAAAAUUUUCUCUUCCAAUAGGUAAACUUUUUGUUGUUAUUUGACGAUAACAAAAAAUGUAAGGCUGCUUGAAAGCAAAGAAGUCACUUGUUUGGAAUGCUACUUGAUUGGCAUGAUAAGUUUUUGGUUUCUAACCUAUAUAUGUGAUCUUGUGCAUGAGAUGGGAUUGAAUUGAAAUUGUCAGAGAA